UAGGGAAUAUUAGUAAUGGGCGAAAGCCUGAACUAGCAACGCCGCGUGUGCGAAGAAGGCCUUCGGGUCGUAAAGCACUUUUUGAGAGGAUGAGGAAGGACGGUACUCUCAGAAUAAAUCUCGGCUAACUACGUGCCAGCAGCCGCGGUAACACGUAGGAGGCAAACGUUAUCCGGAUUUACUGGGCGUAAAGCGCGUGUAGGUGGUUUGGUAAGUAGGGCGUGAAGGCUCCUGGCUCAACUGGGAGAGGACGUUCUAAACUGCCAAGCUUGAGGAUGGUAGAGGGAGGUGGAGUUCCGGGUGUAGCGGUGGAAUGCGCAGAUAUCCGGAGGAACACCAGUGGCGAAGGCGGCCUCCUGGACCACUCCUGACACUCAGACGCGAAAGCUAGGGUAGCAAACGG
Molecule: ribosomal RNA, 403 nt
Filed under: uncultured bacterium
Lineage: Bacteria
Description: bacterial SSU rRNA
Rfam family: Bacterial small subunit ribosomal RNA
Source: RNAcentral